Molecule: small nucleolar RNA, 143 nt
Organism: Grammomys surdaster
Lineage: Eukaryota; Metazoa; Chordata; Mammalia; Rodentia; Muridae
Product: small nucleolar RNA SNORA48
Exons: 1
Source: RefSeq, a predicted model, not a curated record
ACCCCUUUAAAUGGGCAAAGAGACACCUUGUUGGUGGAGUUGUUCUUAUAUCAGUCAAGGGCAGCAGAGAUUGCAGUCCUUUGUUCAUUCUAGCUUGAUGCCUGGCUUAGUGGCCAAAGCUGUCUUAUACCUAGGACUCAUAA